AGAGUUUGAUCCUGGCUCAGAAUCAACGCUGGCGGCGCGCUUAACACAUGCAAGUCGCACGAGAAAGGGAGCAAUCCUGAGUAAAGUGGCGUACGGGUGAGUAACACGUGGAUCAUCUACCUUUUAGUGGGGAAUACCCCCGGGAAACUGGGGACAAUACCGCAUAAGCCUGUGAAGGGAAAGCAGCAAUGCGCUGAAAGAGGAGUCCGCGGCUGAUUAGCUAGUUGGUGAGGUAAUGGCUCACCAAGGCGAAGAUCGGUAGCCGGCCUGAGAGGGCACACGGCCACACUGGCACUGAAAUACGGGCCAGACUCCUACGGGAGGCAGCAGUGGGGAAUCUUGCACAAUGGAGGAAACUCUGAUGCAGCGACGCCGCGUGAGCGAUGAAGCCCUUCGGGGUGUAAAGCUCUUUCGACGGGAACGAUAAUGACGGUACCCGAAGAAGAAGCUGCGGCUAACUACGUGCCAGCAGCCGCGGUAAUACGUAGGCAGCAAGCGUUGUUCGGAAUUACUGGGCGUAAAGAGUGUGUAGGCGGUGCUCUAAGUCUGUUGUGAAAUCUCCCGGCUUAACCGGGAGGGUGCGGCGGAAACUGGAGUGCUUGAGUAUGGGAGAGGUAAGCGGAAUUCCUGGUGUAGCGGUGAAAUGCGUAGAUAUCAGGAGGAACACCUGGUGUAGACAGCUUACUGGACCAUCACUGACGCUGAGACACGAAAGCGUGGGUAGCAAACAGGAUUAGAUACCCNNGUAGUCC
Molecule: ribosomal RNA, 752 nt
Filed under: uncultured bacterium
Lineage: Bacteria
Description: bacterial SSU rRNA
Rfam family: Bacterial small subunit ribosomal RNA
Source: RNAcentral